GACAGCAGUCGCCACGGGAAUACAGAGGGUGCAAGCGUUAAUCGGAAUUACUGGGCGUAAAGCGCGCGUAGGUGGUUUGUUAAGUUGGAUGUGAAAUCCCCGGGCUCAACCUGGGAACUGCAUCCAAAACUGGCAAGCUAGAGUAUGGUAGAGGGUGGUGGAAUUUCCUGUGUAGCGGUGAAAUGCGUAGAUAUAGGAAGGAACACCAGUGGCGAAGGCGACCACCUGGACUGAUACUGACACUGAGGUGCGAAAGCGUGGGGAGCAAACAGGAUUAGAUACCCGAGUAGUCCCUGUCUCUUAUAC
This 306-nucleotide ribosomal RNA is filed under the name uncultured bacterium. Its description in RNAcentral is "partial 16S ribosomal RNA". It matches the Rfam family "Bacterial small subunit ribosomal RNA", at positions 507 to 807 of the family's 1533-position model. The record is from RNAcentral.